GCGGCGGACGGGUGAGUAACACGUAUGCGACCUGCCUGUACGACCGGGAUAACUCCGGGAAACCGGAGCUAAUACCGGAUAGGAUGCCGAACCGCAUGGUUCGGCAUGGAAAGGCCUUUGAGCCGCGUACAGAUGGGCCUGCGGCGCAUUAGCUAGUUGGUGGGGUAACGGCCUACCACGGCGACGAUGCGUAGCCGACCUGAGAGGGUGAACGGCCACACUGGGACUGAGACUCGGCCCAGACUCCUACGGGAGGCAGCAGUAGGGAAUCUUCCGCAAUGGACGAAAGUCUGACGGAGCAACGCCGCGUGAGUGAGGAAGGUCUUCGGAUCGUAAAACUCUGUUGUCAGGGAAGAACCGCCGGGAUGACCUCCCGGUCUGACGGUACCUGACGAGAAAGCCCCGGCUAACUACGUGCCAGCAGCCGCGGUAAUACGUAGGGGGCAAGCGUUGUCCGGAAUUAUUGGGCGUAAAGCGCGCGCAGGCGGCUUCUUAAGUCAGGUGUGAAAGCCCACGGCUCAACCGUGGAGGGCCAUCUGAAACUGGGGAGCUUGAGUGCACGAGAGGAGAGCGGAAUUCCACGUGUAUCGGUGAAAUGCGUAGAGAUGUGGAGGAACACCAAUGGCGAAGGCGGCUCUCUGGCCUGUAACUGACGCUGACGCGCGAAAGCGUGGGGAGCAAACAGGAUUAGAUACCCUGGUAGUCCACGCCGUAAACGAUGAGUGCUAGGUGUUGGGGAGUCCACCUCCUCAGUGCCGCAGCUAACGCAAUAAGCACUCCGCCUGGGGAGUACGGCCGCAAGGCUGAAACUCAAAGGAAUUGACGGGGACCCGCACAAGCAGUGGAGCAUGUGGUUUAAUUCGAAGCAACGCGAAGAACCUUACCAGGGCUUGACAUCCCGCUGACCCCUCCCGAGAUGGAGGCUUCCUUCGGGACAGCGUUGACAAGUGGUGCAUGGUUGUCGUCAGCUCGUGUCCUGACAUGUUGGGUUAAGUCCCGCAACGAGCGCAACCCUUGUCCUUUGUUGCCAGCAUUCAUUUGGGCACUCUAAGGAGACUGCCGUCGACAAACGGAAGAAGGU
RNAcentral lists this ribosomal RNA (1081 nucleotides) under Aneurinibacillus thermoaerophilus. Its description in RNAcentral is "bacterial SSU rRNA". It matches the Rfam family "Bacterial small subunit ribosomal RNA", at positions 95 to 1174 of the family's 1533-position model. The record is from RNAcentral. Lineage: Bacteria; Bacillati; Bacillota; Bacilli; Caryophanales; Paenibacillaceae.